AAGAGUUUUAGGAGAGUGUGGCCCAUCAGUAGCUGUGGCUCUAAGUAGAGAAACAGCCACUGCCAACUUGCAGCUGGCCAAGGAAGGAGAAAGUGGAAAAUAAAUACCACCCAUCACAGUGCUGCUCUCUGAUCUCCUGCUUUACCUCGCAUGUGCCAAAUCCAGCUCAAAGAGAGAGGGCAUCCAUAAAGCAGAACAUUCAGCCUGCUGGGGAAGAGUGGCAGGGAAAGGUUGAAGAUUGGAGCUGGAGGAAAACGUCAAGAAAAUCAGCACAGUAUUCUUCCAGAGCUUUUUUCUUUGCUCGCCCCAUCUCUCACAUACCUCCGAGUCUUCCUGACUGACCUGGAGUAGACAUUGUUCCUCACCUGACUGCCGAAGGCGAGACGAGGCUUGACUUGCUGCAAGCUGGGCCACUGGGGCACAAGUGUCCUCACUCAGACCACUGACAGGUGGCCAGGUGGAGCAGGCUCAGCAUUAUGUAGCCCUGGAUUUAGUUUUCAACAGGGUGGAUUUAUUUCCCAGCUCCAUCUCUG
This 533-nucleotide long non-coding RNA is filed under the name Equus asinus (donkey). RNAcentral describes it as "lncRNA (ENSEASG00005025278.1)". The record is from RNAcentral. Lineage: Eukaryota; Metazoa; Chordata; Mammalia; Perissodactyla; Equidae.